Molecule: ribosomal RNA, 460 nt
Filed under: uncultured bacterium
Lineage: Bacteria
Description: partial 16S ribosomal RNA
Rfam family: Bacterial small subunit ribosomal RNA
Source: RNAcentral
CCUACGGGUGGCAGCAGUGAGGAAUAUUGGUCAAUGGGCGGAAGCCUGAACCAGCCAAGUAGCGUGCAGGAUGACGGCCCUACGGGUUGUACACUGCUUUUAUACGGGAAUAACGCGCCUUACGUGUAGGGCUUUGCAUGUAACGUAUGAAUAAGGACCGGCUAAUCCCGUGCCAGCAGCCGCGGUAAUACGGAAGGUCCGGGCGUUAUCCGGAUUUAUUGGGGUUAAAGGGAGCUUAGGCCGCAUGUCAAGCGUGUUGUGAAAUGUCCGGGCUCAACCCGGGCCUUGCAGCGCGACAUGGCGUGCUUGAGUCCGCGGAAAGCAGGCGGAAUUCGUCGUGUAGCGGUGAAAUGCUUAGAUAUGACGAAGAACCCCGAUUGCGAAGGCAGCUUGCUGCAGCGGAACUGACGCUGAUGCUCGAAAGCGCGGGUAUCGAACAGGAUUAGAUACCCUGGUAGUC